AGACGUGUGCACACAUAUGCGUGCACACACACAGAGACGGGCACAGGUGUCCCUAACCUGUCAGUUCUUCCUGGAUGGUGGGCUGCGUCCAAGCAAGCUGAGAAUUUUCCACGUUGACUGGAACACUCGGCUAAAAUGCCUUGGCUUCUCAGGUCAUGGGUAAGGGUCAUUGACAACUCUAUUUGCCCACUUUAUUCAAACCAGAGGACAAGGAAAACUACUGGAUGAACACGGUUGUCUUGGGAAGAGACCUGCAGGAAGCUGCCCCAGCAGAGCAGGCCACGGGUUUCAGUAACGCCAGAGGCUGAGAGAGGAAUUGGUCGACGGAGGCAGAAAUCGUCACAUACGAGGAAAGCUUGACUGCAAAACAUCAAUUCAUCCAGCAACCACUCACCAUCCACUGGUAAGGCCAUGUCCUUCCAUUCUGGCCAGAGUUCCGCAUCUGUGCCUCAGUGCUGGGGCUGAUCUGACAGCCUGUGUCGCACACACACAGGUUGGGGGAGAGAUAGUUGAGACCAAAACGUUUGUGAGAUCAAAGCCAUUGAGAUGCUGUCACACGUUCCCAGGGGCACGGACAGGGAACUCACAGUCACUCCCGGAGGGAAGCGAGUACCAGCUUGAAGCAGCGUGGUGUGGGGAGGUCCUCCUGCCUGGGUGCUGCUGAGGCAGAGAAGGAGGAGGCUGUUCUCACUGAAGGCGCCUGCACAUCUCCUCAGCAGAGACGGGGUACAGACGGGCUUUGGAGAAGGGUGGUCCCUCCGCAGGAUGCGUGGGAGAGGGAGGAUGCCCGGUAACAAACAGAGCUCCUGGCAAGGGUGGGCUGCGGCCCAGCCCAGAAGAGCUCCUCCUCCCUCCAGGAACCUGGAUCUUGUCGCCCCGGGAGAACAUGUUCCCUGCCUUCAUCCCACGGAGCAGGCUUCGUGCAGAAGCUCAUCCUGUUCACAGCUCUAACUACCAAAGGCUGGGAAUCUACAAGCUGAAUCUUCAACCCAAACUCACCUCCUGAAUGCCCAUCACUGUUGCCUUCUGUCACCGGCCUUCGGACACCCCAGGAGCACCUCAGACGCACCCGAGCACAAACUCCAUGUCUCUCCUGUGAAGUUUCUCAGAGCCCCUGCCGUGGCCAAUGCUCCUGGCCACUCCACUGUGAAAUCCACAGCAUCUGUCACUCUUCUGCUCCCUCCUGCUCUUGUCUCCAAACCCAACUAACCCAGCCACCUGCAAAUCUCUCCCGCCCUCCCGGCCACCCCAAGCAGCCACUGGGGACCAUCCUCAACCUCCCCAUCCAGUCUUUUCCCUGGGCCCGAAGCAUGUUCCUAAAAUGCAGACACGUCACAUCACUCCAGUUCAAAACCUUUCAGUAGCAUUUGUUAAUGGCCACUCAUUUAUUCCACAAAAAAUUACUUAAUCUUGGGCUGGGCAUGGUGGCU
RNAcentral lists this long non-coding RNA (1430 nucleotides) under Homo sapiens (human). RNAcentral describes it as "HSALNT0395352". The record is from RNAcentral. Lineage: Eukaryota; Metazoa; Chordata; Mammalia; Primates; Hominidae.